CGCGAACGUUAGCGGCGGGCCUAACACAUGCAAGUCGAGCGAGAAAGUGGCUUCGGCCAUCAGUAAAGCGGCGGACGGGUGAGUAACACGUAGGUAAUCUUCCCUUGAGCGGGGACAACGUUUCGAAAGGAACGGCUAAUACCGCAUACGUUCCCAGGAGCUUCGGCCCCUGGGAGGAAAGGCUAGGUCGCAAGAUCCGGCACUCGAGGAGGAGCCUGCGUCGCAUCAGCUAGUUGG
Molecule: ribosomal RNA, 237 nt
Filed under: uncultured bacterium
Lineage: Bacteria
Description: partial 16S ribosomal RNA
Rfam family: Bacterial small subunit ribosomal RNA
Source: RNAcentral